RNAcentral lists this unclassified non-coding RNA (1472 nucleotides) under Hevea brasiliensis (rubber tree). The record is from RNAcentral. Lineage: Eukaryota; Viridiplantae; Streptophyta; Magnoliopsida; Malpighiales; Euphorbiaceae.
AAAAUUAUAAAAAAUAUUAAAUUCAGCUAAAAUUAAAAUGAAAGUUUUAAUUAAGAAUUUUUAUUUGGAGCAAAUUGAGUGUUCAUAUGCUGUUUCCUCUAUUUUUUUUCCAUUUCAGUCAGUCAAGCCAUACACUGGCUUACCUCCAUUUUUAUACCUUUGUAACUAUUAUUAUAUAAUCCUUCCUCUCUCUCUCUCUCUCGUUAAGAUUCUCCCUCCGCUUCCUUCUUUACGUUAUUCUUCAAUUACUCAGGUUCCAUAUAUCGGAAGGUAUCGGGAUUGAGAUCUAUCAAGGAUUGUAAUAUGGCGGAAGAGCACAGAUGCCAAGCGCCUGAAGGUCACCGUCUUUGCGCCAAUAACUGUGGAUUUUUCGGGAGCCCUGCCACGAUGAACCUAUGCUCCAAAUGUUACAGAGAUUAUUGUCUCAAGGAACGACAGGAACAACAACAAGAAGCAUCUAUUAAAGCCUCUCUUUCCGUUACAUCCUCGUUUCCUCCUGUACCGGCCGUAGAUUCUCUGCCUUCUCCGGCGAUCGCCUUGCCAGAGGUACGAAGUGCUGCCACGGAGGUGACAGCUGCGGUUGAGCAGCCGAAUCGGUGUUCCACGUGCAGAAAACGCUUCGGAUUGACCGGGUUUAAGUGUCGGUGCGGGACAACGUUCUGUGCGACCCAUAGAUACCCAGAGAAGCAUGGCUGCACCUUCGAUUUCAAGAAGGUUGGAAGAGAGGAGAUCGCGAGGGCCAAUCCUCUCGUCGUAGCUGAGAAGCUGGAAAAGAUUUAAUAUGGAGCGGUGGAUGUCCUAACGCGAAAAAAACAUAAAGGAUGAUAGGCCUUGCAUCAGAUGAGUAAACCACCAUCGUCGAUCACAGCCGUUAAACACGCAGCUGAUCAGGCAAAGAUCUGUGGCUUUGGAAUUGGGAUGAUCUUUUCUCUGUCUUCCGUUUUAAUAUUAUUAUAAAAGUAUAUUCUUAAAAAAAAAGUUCUAAUUAAUUAUAUCUACGGCUUUGCGUGUGAAAAGAUUAAAAAGUAAAAAAAAAGGAUUUGAUUUUCAAAUACUCGGUGGUGUUGUAGAUUCUUGGUGUUGGGCAAGUGGUGGUUUGGGGUUUUGAAUUGCAGCCAAUCAAAGGAUGCCAUGUUUUACUUUGUAGAGCUUUCUGAGUUCUUCUUAAGGUUGAUAAAGGUGAGAUUUUUUCAAAUUGACAUUGGUAGAAUGGUAGGUUUGAAAUUGAAAACAAAUUAAAAAUUCAAAUUAAACUAAAGUUUUUUUAAAAAAUGUUAUGAAUAACUUUUAAUUUCUUUGGAUUUUAAACUUAAAUCGAUCAGAAUCAAACGGAUCCAUUGAUAGCUUCGGCUCGAUAGGAUCAUAUGGUUCUUUGCUCAGGCCUAAAUAGGGAAUUCUUCGCGAUCAGAGUUCAUUAUCAGCAGAUGGGAUUGUUGUUGCACCUCUACAAAUCCCUAGCGUGCUUUCAAAGA